AUUGAACGCUGGCGGCAGGCUUAACACAUGCAAGUCGAGCGGGGUGAUGGUGCUUGCACUAUCACUUAGCGGCGGACGGGUGAGUAAUGCUUAGGAAUCCGCCUAUUAGUGGGGGACAACAUCUCGAAAGGGAUGCUAAUACCGCAUACGUCCUACGGGAGAAAGCAGGGGAUCACUUGUGACCUUGCGCUAAUAGAUGAGCCUAAGUCGGAUUAGCUAGUUGGUGGGGUAAAGGCCUACCAAGGCGACGAUCUGUAGCGGGUCUGAGAGGAUGAUCCGCCACACUGGGACUGAAACACGGCCCAGACUCCUACGGGAGGCAGCAGUGGGGAAUAUUGGACAAUGGGGGGAUCCCUGAUCCAGCCAUGCCGCGUGUGUGAAGAAGGCCUUAUGGUUGUAAAGCACUUUAAGCGAGGAGGAGGCUCUUUUGGUUAAUACCCAAGAUGAGUGGACGUUACUCGCAGAAUAAGCACCGGCUAACUCUAUGCCAGCAGCCGCCGUAA
This 503-nucleotide ribosomal RNA is filed under the name uncultured bacterium. Its description in RNAcentral is "partial 16S ribosomal RNA". It matches the Rfam family "Bacterial small subunit ribosomal RNA", at positions 30 to 523 of the family's 1533-position model. The record is from RNAcentral.